AGCAGCCGCGGUAAUUCCAGCUCCAAUAGCGUAUAUUAAAGUUGUUGCAGUUAAAAAGCUCGUAGUUGAAUUUCGGGAUCGAAUUGUUGGUCGUGCUUCGGUACGUACUGGCAUUAUUGGUUCCUACCUUCUGAAGAACCGCGAUGUCAUUAAUUUGGUGUCGUGGGGAAUCAGGACUGUUACUUUGAAAAAAUUAGAGUGUUUAAAGCAGGCUUACGCUUGAAUACAUUAGCAUGGAAUAAUGAAAUAGGACGUUUGAUUCUAUUUUGUUGGUUUCUAGGAUCGACGUAAUGAUUAAUAGGGAUAGUUGGGGGCAUUAGUAUUCAAUUGUCAGAGGUGAAAUUCUUGGAUUUAUUGAAGACUAACUACUGCGAAAGCAUUUGCCAAGGAUGUUUUCAUUAAUCAAGAACGAAAGUUAGGGGAUCGAAGACGAUCAGAUACCGUCGUAGUCUUAACCAUAAACUAUGCCGACUAGGGAUCGGAUGAUGUUAAUUUUAUAAUGACUCA
Molecule: ribosomal RNA, 507 nt
Filed under: uncultured Glomus
Lineage: Eukaryota; Fungi; Glomeromycota; Glomeromycetes; Glomerales; Glomeraceae
Description: SSU rRNA
Rfam family: Eukaryotic small subunit ribosomal RNA
Source: RNAcentral